GUGCUCGCUUCAGCAGCACACAUACUAAAAUGGAAUAAUACACAGAAGAUCACCAUGGCCCCAGUGCAAUAAUGACACACAAAUUUGUUAAGAAUUCCAUAUUUUA
Molecule: small nuclear RNA, 106 nt
Organism: Myotis lucifugus (little brown bat)
Lineage: Eukaryota; Metazoa; Chordata; Mammalia; Chiroptera; Vespertilionidae
Source: Ensembl